ACAUGCGUACAUUCCUCAUUUGGCCACUACUCACCUUUGAGGACUUGCUGGGUUAAUUCUCUGCUGCCACACUGUUUAGCCAUUUCUUCCUGGGCUGUGUGCUGUCCUUGAUGGCCCAUGAGCUUCCCACCGUGCCCUAAUCCAACCUAACACUACCUUCACUGCUGGCACUCUGGUUUUUUUUNNNNUUUUUUUUUUUUUUUUGCACUCUGGGUUUUUAUGUAGUGAACAUUUUUAACUCCUCUGAUCUUAAGAAUCACUUGGGGUACUCUCCUGGUGAUUCUGAGUCAGAAGCUUUGUGGAGGAGUCUGCUGAUCUGUAUAUUUAACAGAAGUCCCAGGUGAUUUUUAUGAUCACUUGAGUCUGAUAUACAUGAAUUCAAUAAAUAUGAAAGUAGAAAGAUGUCCUCAAGAUCAUUUAAGCCAGUGGUACUCAAAGAAUGUCUUUCCAACCAGGAGCAUCAGUAUCAUCAGGGACUUGGAAGCAUCAAUUAUCAACCCUCUGUUGAGUAGACACCCUGGAGGGGAACCCACUGACUUGUAUUGUAACAAGCCCUCCAGAGAUUCUCACAUAGGCUAAAGUUCCAGACCACCGGCUUAGACCAGCCCUUUCCUGUUCUCGAUUUUACAGAUGAGAAAUGUUGAUACUCUCUUCUCUCACUUUGGGACCUUGAGUGUUGAUAGAAGGACAGUACCACAAUCCCUAGAUGAUUGUGAACAGGGUGGGAUGACAGAAGGUAGGGAGCCACUGAGGAUGGGGCAUCAGUGAGUGUGGUUCUUAACUCUCUCUCUCUCUACCUCCAGAGUGAGGUCUUGCCUGUGCAAAUAAGGAACCAUGUUUACCAAGGAGAUUGCUGAAAGACACAAGCUUCUGGAGAGCCAUGUCCCUGUGGUAAACCAGAGCCUGGUGUUACCAGUGACUCUCCACCUAAGAAAUCCCCUGAGAACCCAGAAACCAAGGAGCCCCAGUUCCCUCCAGAGAAAGACAUGCUUCACCCUUGGAGAAGUUUCAGCUCUGCUUUUGGUGAUCAAUGAAUGCCUCAAGUCCUGCUCAACUCUGUUUGCUCCAUUCUGGCUGCAACUUAGUGUGGGUCUAACAAGUCUAAUUAGGAUUUCAUCUGACAGGCUUCACAAGUCUAUCCUUCAAAAACCCAAAUAA
This 1158-nucleotide long non-coding RNA is filed under the name Capra hircus (goat). RNAcentral describes it as "lncRNA (ENSCHIG00010022770.1)". The record is from RNAcentral. Lineage: Eukaryota; Metazoa; Chordata; Mammalia; Artiodactyla; Bovidae.